UACGGAGGGUGCGAACGUUAAUAGGAAUCACUGGGCGUAAAGCGCGCGUAGGCGGUCCGUUAAGUGGGAUGUGAAAACCCCGGGCUCAACCUGGGAACUGCAUUCAAAACUGACAAGCUAGAGUAUGGUAGAGGGUGGUGGAAUUUCCUGUGUAGCGGUGAAAUGCGUAGAUAUCGGGAGGAACACCUGCGGUGUAGACGGCUUACUGGACCAUAACUGACGCUGAGGCACGAAAGCGUGGGUAGCAAACAGG
RNAcentral lists this ribosomal RNA (253 nucleotides) under uncultured prokaryote. RNAcentral describes it as "partial 16S ribosomal RNA". It matches the Rfam family "Bacterial small subunit ribosomal RNA", at positions 524 to 776 of the family's 1533-position model. The record is from RNAcentral.